RNAcentral lists this ribosomal RNA (266 nucleotides) under uncultured bacterium. RNAcentral's name for it is "partial 16S ribosomal RNA". It matches the Rfam family "Bacterial small subunit ribosomal RNA", at positions 793 to 1055 of the family's 1533-position model. The record is from RNAcentral.
GUCCACGCCGUAAACGAUGGGUGCUAGGUGUCGCGGGCUUUGACUCCCGCGGUGCCGUAGCUAACGCAUUAAGCACCCCGCCUGGGAAGUACGGCCGCAAGGCUAAAACUCAAAGGAAUUGACGGGGGCCCGCACAAGCGGUGGAGCAUGUGGUUUAAUUCGACGCAACGCGAAGAACCUUACCUGGGCUAGAAAAUGCUGGAACCUGGGAGAAGUCUCGGGGUGCCCUUCGGGGAGCCAGUAGUUAGGUGCUGCAUGGCUGUCGU